Herpailurus yagouaroundi (jaguarundi) is the source of this 352-nucleotide long non-coding RNA. RefSeq lists it as uncharacterized. NCBI's taxonomy places the organism in Eukaryota, Metazoa, Chordata, Mammalia, Carnivora, Felidae. The transcript has 4 exons. The record is from RefSeq and is a predicted model, not a curated record.
UCUUCUCUUUAGUAAGAACAACUGUGAAAAGAUUUCAUAAGGAAGGAAUGAAAUGCAAGAAUUUCUGUCCCCAUUGGUCAAAUCCCACUGGAGCCAGUAAGAAGAGAGCAAAAUAGAAGAGGAGAGUGAAUCUGGAGGGGCAAAUGGAAGAUAUGUGGCAUGAGAUAUUAGAAGCAUUAUGCCCAGUUAACUAGCCCAACAGUGAAACCACCUGUCACCAUCUACCUGUGCUGCAUCCUCUCUGCUCCAGCCCUUCUUCAAACCCAGAAGCUUCUGCUGGGAAAGAACCUGUUUAGUGUUGCUUAAAAUUGUGCUCAUGCUGGAGAAUGUAAAACAUACUUACAACCUGCAG